RNAcentral lists this ribosomal RNA (496 nucleotides) under uncultured bacterium. RNAcentral's name for it is "partial 16S ribosomal RNA". It matches the Rfam family "Bacterial small subunit ribosomal RNA", at positions 29 to 507 of the family's 1533-position model. The record is from RNAcentral.
AUGCACGCUGGCGGCGUGCCUAAUACCUGCCAGUCGCGCGAACAGACGAGGAGCUUGCUCCUCUGACGUUAGCGGCGGCCGGGUGAGUAACACGUGGAUAACCUACCUAUAAGACUGGGAUAACUUCGGGAAACCGGAGCUAAUACCGGAUAAUAUAUUGAACCGCAUGGUUCAAUAGUGAAAGACGGUUUUGCUGUCACUUAUAGAUGGAUCCUCGCCGCAUUAGCUAGUUGGUAAGGUAACGGCUUACCAAGGCAACGAUGCGUAGCCGACCUGAGAGGGUGAUCGACCACACUGGAACUGGGACACGGUCCAGACUCCUACGAGAGGCAGCAGUAGGGAAUCUUCCGCAGUGAGCGAAAGCCUGACGGAGCAACGCCGCGUGAGUGAUGAAGGUCUUCGGAUCGUAAAACUCUGUUAUUAGGGAAGAACAAAUGUGUAAGUAACUAUGCACGUCUUGACGGUACCUAAUCAGAAAGCCACGGCUAACUACGUG